Long non-coding RNA from Thalassophryne amazonica, 504 nucleotides. RefSeq lists it as uncharacterized. Lineage: Eukaryota; Metazoa; Chordata; Actinopteri; Batrachoidiformes; Batrachoididae. The record is from RefSeq and is a predicted model, not a curated record. The transcript is spliced from 3 exons.
CUCAGUGUCUUUAUUGACAAACCUAUCUCAGUGUCAGAAUACAAACAUGAGGCAUCAUCUGUUUUACAGAGAGUGUGACACUCCAACUGUGACCGACUUUUGAUAUGUUUAAUUCAGGAUGUCAAACUCCACUUUAAAGCUGCACUUCCACCUGGCAGAGUUUGGCACCAUUUAGUGCCGUAAAAUGCAGAGCUACAACUUGGCACACCUCGCUUGAUUUUCCCAAUCAGCUCUUGGCUGACUGGGUUUGACGCAGAUUCAUCCCGAGCAGGCAUACCGCUCAGAACAAGUCGGCAAAAGUCUAGUCGAGAUCAGGAGAAUUCCAAACAAAUUCAAAACCGGCAAGAAUUUAACUUUCCUAACUUCACUGGGUCGGCAUGCUGAUCAGCAAGAUCAGUAAAACUCAAAACGAUGACUCUAAGACACUAAAAUCACUCCUCGUGCCAGAAAUCCCACUGAGAGCUCGCACACAAAGUGUGCAUUCAUUUUGAUGAUGCUGAAAUG